Molecule: long non-coding RNA, 784 nt
Organism: Ictalurus punctatus (channel catfish)
Lineage: Eukaryota; Metazoa; Chordata; Actinopteri; Siluriformes; Ictaluridae
Source: Ensembl
GGGAUGCCUAGUGAAAGAGUACAUGGAAUUCUAACAGGCAAGAGCAGAUGGUCCAGAAUUUUGGGCAUUUUCACAUGACUUGAAUACUUGAGGCUGACCCUGGAUCCUUCUGAACUCUGGCUUUAUGCCUGCUUUUUUCACCAAUGUGAAAACCACAAAGCCUGGAGCAGAGAGAUGGAGAAACGGGGAGACCGAGAUACCGGAAACUGUAUAGGAGUGUACAGUCAUGUCUAUUGGCACGAGUUAACGGAUUUAUCACCGUGUGAAGAGGAAGAGGGAGAGAUUUACUAUGAGUUCUCAAGCUUGCCAGCACCGAGGAACCUGGUCUGACCAAUUUUCAGCACCCUUUACUAAAAUAUGGAGCGUUUCUUCAGAGCUGCUGAUUUGGAUUCAGUGUUUUCAGAGAGGUUGAAGUGACAACACGGAGUUGAAAGCUGUUCUGGGAUCAGUGUGUGCUGCAGAGCUGAAUUUGAAGUGUGAGGAGAAAUUUCGACAUGGCUCAAGCCUGUCUGAUGUACGGUAAAGGGUUUACGACAGGAAUGACUCGGCUGUACAUUCAAACACUCGGCUUCACCUCCAUUUGUAGAUAACCAAGUUAGCAUGCGCGUAAAUAAUCAUCGUAGCUGUGGCGCUUCAGACCUGUAAGCUCUAAACUGGCCGAGUGUGUCAGAGUGUGUGUUAUGUAGUGAUUUCACUGCAGGCUUGGGUUCCACGGUGAGUGUGUUUAGCACAGCAUAACAGCCUUUUCAUUUCACUUGAUGCGUUUGACUCAAUAAAGCUCAGA